Molecule: long non-coding RNA, 1193 nt
Organism: Spodoptera frugiperda (fall armyworm)
Lineage: Eukaryota; Metazoa; Arthropoda; Insecta; Lepidoptera; Noctuidae
Exons: 2
Source: RefSeq, a predicted model, not a curated record
GACUUCAAAGUUAUAUACUGGACACAAUUCCAACAAGUAACACAAAUCAUCUUUGUAGACUACACCUCCAAUGAAAAUCGAUUAUUCAAUAUCUUAAAUACUUCAAUUGACCUCCUAAACUGUAUUUGCUAAACAAAUAUCGACCUAUUCGUCCUCAUAAUAGAAUUUCCUUUAACAUACGAGCAAUAUGUCGCGUAAUAAACUAAAAAACACAAGUUACAGAACAGAGGUGGCGGAAACGCAAUUUCCAAAUAUCGAUUUCUUCUGACGACUGCACAACUACAUAACCCAUUUAUCUACCACCACAAACAACACCCUAAUACCAACUUAAACACUCAUGUUAUACAGUCCCUUUUACAUUGACACACUGUGUCACUUACAACCAUUUGCAUUGUUCACCACUCCAAGUUUAUUCCCUUAUACUUCAAAGGAAAGAGAGCUUUGUUGUGAAUGUGUUAAAGUAUAAUUUUGGCUGUGUUGCGGUGUGAUUUAAGUCGUUAUUUUAUCGAGUUAGGGUCCGGAUUCCCCUUCAGUUGGCAUUGUAAACAAAACGCCUAUUAUAAUGGACAUCGUAGUGUUGUGCUGUUAUCGAUAAACUGAGAUGGGGCGAUAGUGCUGCGACUGAUAUGUGACGUCAGUUUUACCGUAAUGACGUGAGAGUUUUUAAGGCCUACACAAAUGUUCUUUUGGUUAAUAUUAAAUGAUAAAUGAUAUUUAUUUUGCAAAUACACGAUACAAUGUAACUCUUUUACACGUCAAUCUCUUAAAUAACUAGAUGAGGCAUUUCCUAUCGGACUACUCUGAGAAGAAAUGUCUAAACAAACUCAGAGGUCAUAGUCUCUUUUAAAGUCCAGACAAAAUCAAUUAAAGUUGUCGAAGAUUGUUCGUCGGAUCAUCCGGCAACAGCCGUCAGCUGAGCUGAUUGUAAACUGACACAUGCGUGCUGCCAUCUGAAUAGGUCCGCUCAUACUGUUGUGGUUCUUUCCUCUAAAGACCACUACAGAAUCAACUUGCACGGUUCUCUCACAUUAUCCUCUAUUUCAUUGUCUGGACUAUAAAAGAGACUAUGACCUCUGAGUUUGUUUCGGCAUUUCUUCUCAGAGUAGUCGGAUAGGAAAUGCCGGCCUCAUCUAGCUAUUUGAAAUAUUGACGUGUAAAAGUGUUAUUUUAUAAUCUAUUUACAGAAAUAAAUA